RNAcentral lists this ribosomal RNA (3051 nucleotides) under Triticum aestivum (bread wheat). Its description in RNAcentral is "partial small subunit ribosomal RNA". Lineage: Eukaryota; Viridiplantae; Streptophyta; Magnoliopsida; Poales; Poaceae. The record is from RNAcentral.
AUGGCAUCCCAAGCCGUCGAGAGCCAUCGUGUCGGCGCGGAGAUAUUCCGCGGCGACGACGCCAUGUGCAAGAAGAAGUCGGUGGAGGUGCUGGAGGAGCUGGGCCCAGUGGCUGAGCCAGAACUUUUGUGGAGCCUGGGCAAAUUAUGCCUAACCCGUCGGCCAGGGGUGGGCCGAAAAGGUGGUUUUCGGCCAGGGCAUGGCCGAAGUAGGCUUUUCGGCCGCGCUUGGGCCGAAAACACGCUGUCGGCUGGGGCCCGACCGAAAAUAGUAGCUUCGGCUGCUGAGAGGCCGAACUGGGCCGUUUUCGGCCCACCGGUGACCGAAGUGGAGCUUUUCGGCCAGGCUGCGGCCGAAAAGUUUUUGAUGUGUUUGGGGAGGAGCAGCCAUGGUGGGGAGGAGGAGCCAUGGUGGAGAGGAGGACGGGUAGUGAAAAUGUCUGAAUCAGUAAAUCUGAAUGUUUACUACGGCGCUGGUAAUGUUCGAUAUAAUGAGUUGGGGGUUGAUCUUAGCGAGUUUAAAAAUGGCGUCAUGACACUAGCUGACCCGGACAGACUGGACAUUAGACAGUUGAAGUACUGGUUGACAACUAGUUUCGGUCUGGAUCCUGAAGUAUGUUCUGUCAGUAUUCAUGCAUUGUGGACCAAAUCCUGUAAAAAUGUCAAGUGGGAGUUGAUGCCGGUAGAUAGGAGCCAGCAUUGGUUGUCCCUGUUAAGACGCUGUCGAGACCGAAGAAUCCACCCAUAUGCACUUGUGCAACCUGUGCCGAAGGAGGAGAAUACCGUAGAACUCCACAGGGGGUAUGAACCCGGCCAAGGCAGUGAAGUGGCUAACGAGAUUGUUUUAUCCGGGUCACAGCCACAAGAUGUGGAUGCUAGCCAACCCGAGAAAGAGUCAGACUACGUGCCACACAAUGUUUGUGGUCCUGAUACUGGGCAGAGCAGCCAGUCGAUAAUAUUAGCUGGUUCAGGUUUUGCUGAUGGGGAUGAGGAAGGGGAUGAAAUGCAGAGGGUGAUGGAGGAAGAGGACGAGGAUGGAUUGGUGGAGGAACUGGAUUCUGAAAAUUCUGAGGAUGAAAUUGAGUUGGAUGCUAUCUCCUUCGUGUCCCCAUACUAUUUAAAAGAGGCAGUGCUCAACACCUGGACAGGCGAGAUGACAGGGUUUAGAGUCGUCGGCAAUUUCAACAAGGUAAACGAAGGUGAGAGAGUAUAUAUCCCGCAUCCAGACCUUCGGCGAACAAGUAGGGGCAGACGGAAGGCCCGUCGCAUCCGGAACGAUAUGGACCAGUCUGAAGCUGGUGGAGCAACCAGGCAAUGUUUGUUAUGCGCGGCUUAUGGGCAUAGGAUGAAAUAUUGUCCCGACCUGAACAAAGAUGGUGCUUCCGCAUCGACGAGUGCUUCCACAUCGACGGCUGCGACAACAAGAGGAAGAGGCGGACGUGGUCGUGGCAGUCGAGGCCGAAGGGGCGGACGAGGAAGAAAUAUGUCUUUGUAUCCGUUGCUUAAUGGCAACAUCGAUAGAAAGCACCGGGGCGCCCUAUUGGAAGCGGGCAACAACUUAGACGUGUUGGUCACUCGUACCCCAAAGACUAACUGGCUGAUACACGAUUCAUGGGUUGAUAGGUUAAGUUGGGCUGGACUUCUACCCUUGGCACGGCUGGUUCAGGGUACAUUGGAUGAGUGGAUUGAUGGUCCGGACUUAGAUGAGGCAGAUAUGUCUUUGUAUCCGUUGCUUAAUGGCAACAUCGAUAGAAAGCACCGGGGCGCCCUAUUGGAAGCGGGCAACAACUUAGACGUGUUGGUCACUCAUACCCCAAAGACUAACUGGCUGAUACACGAUUCAUGGGUUGAUAGGUUAAGUUGGGCUGGACUUCUACCCUUGGCACGGCUGGUUCAGGGUACAUUGGAUGAGUGGAUUGAUGGUCCGGACUUAGAUGAGGCAGGUGAACCAGUGCAGUUACACAAGAGGCAAGUGAGACGUUUCUCUUACGACAAGUCACUCCUUACCUGCUUAGUAGAUAGAUGGAGGCCAGAGACACAUACGUUUCACUUCCCAUGGGGAGAGAUGGCGCCUACUUUACAGGAUGUGUCGUACUUGUUGGGAUUACCUCUGGCCGGUGCUGCCAUAGGUCCCUUAGAGGCAGAAUCAGGGUGGCAAACAGCGAUGCAGACCCGUUUUUUGGCUGCGGUCCCGACUGCUAGGGCCAUAGACAACGAUCCUCAUGGACCUCUUUUUAGAUGGUUGAGCCAGUUUCAGAGGGGAGAAACUAUCCCACCGCGAGAGGGCGUCUCAUGGUUGAGGCGUCUUGAUGACAAGCUACGAGGGAUUUACGCUGCUGUUACGUGUAGACGGUCUUCGGAUGUUGCACUUCCUCCUCCAGCACAUCGUCCGCCACGUCCCUCUGUACAGCAUUCAGAACCACGACCCUCUGUGCAACGUUCACAACCACGACCUUCUGUGCACCGUGCAGAACCUCAUCCUUCACAGCCAGGGAGCUCUUCCAGGCAUGAGCCACCUCCUUCACAGCCAGGGAGCUCGUCCUGGCAUGAGCCACCUCCUUCACAGCCAGGGAGCUCUUCCUGGCAUGAGCCACCUCCUUCACAGCCAGGGAGCUCUUCCUGGAAUGAGCCACCUCCUUCACAGCCAGGGAGCUCUUCCUGGAAUGAGCCACCUCCUUCACAGCCAGGGAGCUCUUACUGGCAUCAACCACCUCCUUCACAGCCAGGGAGCUCUUACUGGCAUCAGCAGAUGGAACUAGGCGGCAACCUGUCGCAACCGUUCAUGCAUUCAGAGCAGUCACCCAUCCUUAGUGGUGGUGCUGAUUACUUUGAGGGCGACCGCGAGGAUGAUGACCAUGCUACAAACAUUUAUGGCUUCUCGCAGACAGUGUUUCACACUCCACCACCACCACCGACGCAGGAGACACAGACCGUGACAGACGAGGUUAACUAUGGUCGUGGUUAUCGCGAGCCUCGUCCACCGCCUCAGCGCUUAUCGCCUUCCGGUCCUCGCCCGAGGAAGACCCAGACUCGUCGCCGUCCCCCGCAGUGA